RNAcentral lists this ribosomal RNA (315 nucleotides) under uncultured eukaryote. RNAcentral's name for it is "partial 18S ribosomal RNA". It matches the Rfam family "Eukaryotic small subunit ribosomal RNA", at positions 1470 to 1796 of the family's 1831-position model. The record is from RNAcentral.
CCCUUAGACGUUCUGGGCCGCACGCGCGCUACACUGACCAGUGCAACAAGCAUCCGUCCUUGGCCGACAGGCUCGGGCAAUCUUUGAACGCUGGUCGUGAUGGGGAUAGACUUUUGCAAUUUUUGGUCUUCAACGAGGAAUUCCUAGUAAACGCAAGUCAUCAACUUGCAUUGAUUACGUCCCUGCCCUUUGUACACACCGCCCGCCGCACCUACCGAUUGAAUGGUCCGGUGAAGCCUCCGGAUUGGCGCGCACCUCGGUGCCGCCGAGAAGUUGGCUAAACCUUACCAUUUAGAGGAAGGUGAANUCGUANCA